UGCACAAGGCAUUUACAUGGGUGGGAUUGCUCAAAGACAGGAGCCUGGUAUCUUAAAGGGAUCAGGAGGUGCUUCAAGUCUUUGUAUUGGCUGCACUUGGGAUUUGUCUGCAAAUCCAAAGCUUUAGGAUCUCCUGGAUCUCCUCAUCCAUCAGAACUCUCCGGUGGUGUCGUUCCUAUUCCAGGCUCCAAGACUGGAUAUGCAGAUUGUGUUUUUGGGCUCCUUGAAUCAGCAGAGCUGGAUUUUGUGUAGCUGUAGACAAAUCCUGGUGGCACCAAUCCUGUCACACACAGUCAGGAUACAGGGAGGCUUCACAGAUGGAAUAUAGCCUUGCACCGAUUAAAUAACCAUUUGUGCUCUCCUGCAGCAGAAGAUGGGAAUGCCCUGUCUGAACAGUGCUUCCUCUCAUUCCUGAUGCCACCUUAUGAUGGCAGAUAUUCAGCAUCACUUCUGGUUGGGACCAUUGUGAGUCCUCACUGCAACAGCCUGGAGAGGGGAGGCACAUGCAAGGGAUGCUUCACCUGUGAGAGUGUUGUAUAAUAUCUGCACAAAUCCACUGACUUCAAUGAAAGAUAUAGUUGCCACAAGUAAUUCCUUACAAGAAUGUUCAAAACAGCAGCGUUGGAAGCAUAAACAGCUUGAGUAAGAAAGAAGAGGAGAUGGAGAUUUAGACUCAAACCUGUUUGCCAGAAAGGACAGUCCUUGUGGGCAGUGAGCUUACCAAUGGAUUGCACGACUUUGCCUUUCUCCUGCUGUAGCUUUCCUUCAGUUCUCAGGGUCAGCAGCUAGAAGGGUUAAGGAAUCUCCUGUCCCCUGCAAUGAAUUAAUUCUGACUUGCUACCAUUUGAAAGAAAGUAGUGCUACAGCUGAGCUACAUUUCCUUCCUGUCUGGCUGCUGGAAGCAGGCAGCAGAGCAAGGAGAGAUGAAAGCAGCUCAGGAUCUGGCCUGGUUAAUGCCUUUCAGAUGCCUUUAAAGACAUAGCAAUUUCUUUUAAAGGCUGCCUCCUUUGAUUUGAAGCACUGUGAAGGAACUGCAGUUUGACUUGUCAAGAAAACAAUCCUGUUUCUUAACAAUUUGCAGAAAAAUGUUUAUCCCAACACAAAAAGCACAUAGCUAUAACUCUUCUGCCACAAAGAGGGCUGUAUGAAUAUGUCUUCUUAGAUGAAAGCAAGAGAAACUGGAUGAGAGAACUGGCAAAAUGAAAGAAGAAAAUUACAACCAGGGUGAAAGAUGAAAUCUCUGCUGUGUUGAGCUCGAUGCAGCCCAAAGUGACUUCGAUGUGGUUGGAGUUUCAGCGGUCUGGCAAGGAAAAAACUCUCAGUUCUUGGUGUAGGGGGUUAAUACUGUGCUACUCUAAGGUGUGUGUCACCUGCCUUCCUCUCUGGAUACCCAACAAGGAUCCUCUCAUGUUUCUCUUGGGCUGUCCUCAUCCAAGGUCAGUGUUUGCCAGCAUCUUCUCAUCGGACACAAAUCUGUAACUUUCUAAUCAAGGCUCCCAUCUCCUUGCACCGCUACUGCUCACCUGCUAAAUUAUUUCUAGAUCCAUGCUACUUCAAUUCAGUAACAGGAAACAUCUCUAAGUCCCAUUUGCAUCAAUGUAAAUGCUUUUAAAUUGCCUGGCUAAAUCACAGCAGAGAUUAGAUAAAUAGAGCUCCAAAGAUGGAGUAAAAGUUAAAGGAGGAGGAAAAAACUCAUUGCGAUUAUGCAAGCACCUGACAGUCAUUUCAAAUUAAAUAUAAUUAUCAGGAAGUUGAUUUGGGGUUAAAUGUGAAAAUACUGAAAUGAUUGCUUUAGUGUAGAGUAACAAAACAAAAGUCAAACAAGGCAAUAGUUCUUGUCAGAAUAGGGAAAGAAUGAUUAAUUUAAUGUAUCAAUAUAAUGCAAGGCACCCUUUAUAGACCUGAAAUACCUAGGAAAGCAGGAACUAAUGUGUUGCAGGAAGAUGCUGACUUACAGGACAGAAAAGGAGAAUUUUUGAACAGUGAAGUAUUCUGAACUGGAGAAGUAUUGCACAGUAAUAAAUCGAAAAUAGUUAUAAAGAAAUGUACUGAAUAUGGAAUGACAAAGAUUGCCCUAGCUUGAGUACAUUUUUAGUACAUGAAUAAAGCACAUCAAUUCAAAUCAUAUCAUAAGAAAUAAUACUAAAUAGAAAAGUACAUCAUAUAACACAAAAUAAUUGAUCACAUAUUAAUAGAAGGAGUCAUUGCCAAAUUUCUUUGCCCUCAAUCUGCCCCAUGUCUACACAGACCAUGUGCUGGCUGUUCCUGAGAACGGGCAUGGCUUGUCAUUUUCACUGAUUAAUGGAAAUUACAGUGACAAAUCCGGAAUCCAAACCUUAUCUAAAGGUGACAUGUAAUCAAUAUAUUUGCAUUCCCUCACAAGCAAGGAUAAGGAGGAAUAUGAUACCCUGAACUUAUACAAGAAUAAAUAAUCUUGGCUAUAAAUAUAAGAGCUAUCCAUCACUCCUACUUAUUUUCCCUGGCAGCUGCCUGGCAGCAAUUUUUCAAGCUGGAACCAGGAUCCUGGACAUGGUGCACUGCUGGGACUGCAGGAAGAAUGCGAACUGGUGUCAGGUUAUAAAUUUCUGCUCUAGUCCCAUAUGGCACAUAAUCCUCCUGCAAGGCCAAACAAGGAACCACUGGAUUUCACAUGGUGCUUUUAUGAGGCAACAGAAUCAGCAAGUUUGAAACAAGCAGCUCCUAGAGACGUGAAGCGAGGCAAACUCAGCAGAAGGGAGCUCUAAUAUAACUCUCUGCUUGCAGCCUGCUACUCAAUGCCUAGUUCAUCUUUGCCUCAAAAUUGCCACUAAAGCUCAAAGAACCAACAGCAAGGACCUUUUUAGUACUGCAGUAACUUGAAGCAUAAAAUUCAUACAAAAAAUUCACUGCCCUGCUCGGUAUGACUAAUGGAGCCACUGCAUCUCCUGCUUGUAAUAAGGGGCAAAAAUUGACAUGAUGAACAAUUGAAGAUCAGGCCUCUGUGCUUGAAAAAACCUUGAGGCAAAAAUUCUUCCGAGCAUCAUCAGCAAGGAGGAGAGGAUCUCUGAUUUCAAAGUCGGGUGAGCAUCAUCUGCAGCUCAUUGUUAGCUCUUGCUGGCAGGGCUGUGAGCAGCACUCACUGUGCCCUCCCUCAGCUGUGGCACAUCCAUCUCCCACUAAGCCAUAUGGGAGAGACAAUGGAGCAUGAAGAUCUCUGAGCCUGAGAGGGAUUAUGAGGCUUUCUGAUUAGAUGCACUGCACUUCCAAAAAGAUAGGUAUUGCCCUCUUUUUUAAAAGAGGCUUUCCACCCAAUAAUCCCUGUCACUGAGCCAGAACACAAAAGUGUAGAAAAUGUUAUAUGCUUCUAUCCCAAUGUAAUGCAUAAAGUUGCAUUAAAAAUAGAGGAUACACAUCUAAGGGAAAUGGGCACAUCUGACUACACCAGGAAUGCCUUCCCUCACUCAAUCCUGAUCACCAUAAUUAAACAGCAUUACAUAAGUAGUGCUACUAGUGAUUCAGGAUUCAAACCUGCACUUCUAAAGUCAUUCUCCAUCCUGAGCUGACAACAAAUUUUUUACCCCUUGAGAGUGUCAAAAAAAUUGAUAUAAAAACUGAGCAUAGAACAUCCCAGAGAUAUGAACUUGAUAGCAACAAAUGUCACCUCUCUGUGUGUCCCAGCAACACCUGCAACUUCUGACAACUGCUCAGCCAGCCUCAUUUCCAUAGUCACAGGUGUGGGGGUAUCCAGGUUAUCUUUGGCAAGAUGGAAAUCCUCAAUCCCCCUUCUCAAAUGUCCACUGAAAGACCAGAGUGUCUGUGUGUUGAUCUACUUCAAUUUCAUGGGGAAAUAUUAAAAAUGCUUGACUAAAAAUCCAUCAAAACACAUGAAUCCCAUUACAGUGGUGAGCAAGAACAUCUCAUUCCUUGUUUCCUGUCACUCGGGCAACACUUCCAACCUCACUGAAGGUUGCUAGGCUAAACCAAAUAUUUGGACAAAACUUGCUAAUAAAUGGAAUAUUUGGA
This is a long non-coding RNA of Taeniopygia guttata (zebra finch), 4002 nucleotides long. Lineage: Eukaryota; Metazoa; Chordata; Aves; Passeriformes; Estrildidae. The record is from Ensembl.